This 444-nucleotide ribosomal RNA is filed under the name uncultured bacterium. Its description in RNAcentral is "bacterial SSU rRNA". It matches the Rfam family "Bacterial small subunit ribosomal RNA", at positions 355 to 822 of the family's 1533-position model. The record is from RNAcentral.
UCGGGAAUUUUGGGCAAUGGGGGAAACCCUGACCCAGCAACGCCGCGUGAAGGAUGAAGUAUUUCGGUAUGUAAACUUCGAAAGAAUAGGAAGAAUAAAUGACGGUACUAUUUAUAAGGUCCGGCUAACUACGUGCCAGCAGCCGCGGUAAUACGUAGGGACCAAGCGUUGUUCGGAUUUACUGGGCGUAAAGGGCGCGUAGGCGGCAUGACAAGUCACUUGUGAAAUCUCUGGGCUUAACCCAGAACGGCCAAGUGAUACUGUCGCGCUAGAGUGCAGAAGGGGCAAUCGGAAUUCUUGGUGUAGCGGUGAAAUGCGUAGAUAUCAAGAGGAACACCUGAGGUGAAGACGGGUUGCUGGGCUGACACUGACGCCGAGGCGCGAAAGCCAGGGGAGCAAACGGGAUUAGAUACCCGAGUAGUCCCUGAGCGGGCUGGCAAGGCG